This 301-nucleotide ribosomal RNA is filed under the name uncultured bacterium. RNAcentral describes it as "partial 16S ribosomal RNA". It matches the Rfam family "Bacterial small subunit ribosomal RNA", at positions 509 to 807 of the family's 1533-position model. The record is from RNAcentral.
CAGUAGCCACGGUAAUACGUAGGUGGCAAGCGUUGUCCGGAAUUAUUGGGCGUAAAGGGCUCGCAGGCGGUUUCUUAAGUCUGAUGUGAAAGCCCCCGGCUCAACCGGGGAGGGUCAUUGGAAACUGGGAAACUUGAGUGCAGAAGAGGAGAGUGGAAUUCCACGUGUAGCGGUGAAAUGCGUAGAGAUGUGGAGGAACAUCAGUGGCGAAGGCGACUCUCUGGUCUGUAACUGACGCUGAGGAGCGAAAGCGUGGGGAGCGAACAGGAUUAGAUACCCCGGUAGUCCCUGUCUCUUAUAC